Non-coding RNA from Podarcis lilfordi (Lilford's wall lizard), 74 nucleotides. The record is from the annotation of a GenBank genome assembly. NCBI's taxonomy places the organism in Eukaryota, Metazoa, Chordata, Lepidosauria, Squamata, Lacertidae.
CUCAACAAUAGAUCAGUUGGUAGAGCAUGAGACUCCUAAUCUCAGGGUUGUGGGUUUGAGCCCCAUUUUUGGGC